Molecule: long non-coding RNA, 440 nt
Organism: Hippocampus zosterae (dwarf seahorse)
Lineage: Eukaryota; Metazoa; Chordata; Actinopteri; Syngnathiformes; Syngnathidae
Exons: 3
Source: RefSeq, a predicted model, not a curated record
GGGUGGUGAUCAUCGGGGCGCUGUAUCUAUCGAAGUGUCCGUCUGUCUGUCUGUGGCAUUUGAAGGCGACUAAAGUGAUGAGGCUGAGCAGAAAGAUGAGCGACACGGCCACAACGGCGAUGAGCAGAUACAAGUGCAAGGCGGAGAAGCUCUCCUCCUUGCUGGGCGGAUGUCUGAACGGAGUGUGGUUGUCAGCUGUGCUUUCAAGCACCACCACAUCAAUCGACACAGUCGCUGACAGGGAGGCUUCUCCGUGAUCACAGACCGACACCACCAAGGGGUGACUUUUCAGGUCAUUGUCACUCAUUCGCCUCUUGGUCCGAAUCUCCCCGGUGCUGGUUCCGAUCCGGAAGAGGUUGUUGUUGCCUUUGGGCUCAGACAGGUGAUAGGAGAGCAGUGCAUUGUAUCCAGAGUCUGCAUCCACUGCCCUGAUCUUUGCC